Long non-coding RNA from Hyla sarda, 367 nucleotides. RefSeq lists it as uncharacterized. The transcript has 3 exons. Lineage: Eukaryota; Metazoa; Chordata; Amphibia; Anura; Hylidae. The record is from RefSeq and is a predicted model, not a curated record.
CAAGAAAGCCGCGUCAGGAGUGAGGGGAGCCGAAAGUGAGCCACAGGCUGAUCAUCCACUGUGCGAGAGAUGGCAACUGUCGAGACUAGCGGAGAUGAACGGGGUGAAGUAAAGAAGUGACGCAGCAGGGAAAUGGAUACAGCGAGGAAGCUGAUCAGACAGCAGAGGAAGGCAAAACACGUUGUGUUUGAUUUGAUGAAUAUGCAAUAAAGCUCCUUGUUGCUGAAUAAACCUGAAAGGUGGGACAAACAGGACAGCAAUUACACAAGAGAAUACAAAAACACCUGUCGACAAUUGCACUAGCAAGGCGUGACAAAGAUCAAGAGAAGACACUAACUUCAGUUGCAGGACAUUUCCUAGAAUACCA